GGAGGGGAAGGUCACAGCUAUGUUCCAUCCCUGGUCAUGGUGAGCACAGAACAGGCAGGAAACAGGUGGGAAUCUGAUCAAGCCCCAACACAACUCACGUCUGUUAGCUUCUCAUCCUAAUGAUCACCAUAGUGAGAGCUUGCUCUGUGCCAGGCACUGCUCCAUGCACCAUGGACACAGCAUCACAGAAAACAAAGAUCCCUGCCCUAUAGAGCUAGCAUUCUAGUGGGGGAGAUAGAAGAAACAAAUAUGUGAUGGGUAAGCAGCUUCCCUGGUGGCUCAGACAGUAAAGAAUCUGCCUGCAAUGCGGGAGACCUGGGUUCGAUCCCUGGGUCAGGAAGAUCCCCUGGAGAAGGGAAUGGCUACCCACUCCAGUAUUCUGGCCUGGAGAAUCCCAUGGACAGAGGAGCCCGGUGGGCUACACUCCAUGGAGUUGUAGUCGGACACAACUGAGUGACUAACACUCUUACUACUUUCAGGAGAUAAUACAUGCCAGGAUGAAAAAUAAACUGCCACAGGGGGAUGGAUAAAGAGAGUUUAGGGAAGGCUGUGAGAAGUAACAUCUGAAGACCUGAAGGAUGUAGAGGAAGAGGGUUCCAAGAAGAAUGGGAACUCGGGACUCUUCUUACCAGGUGUUGUAGUUCUCUGUUGCUGUGUAACAAAUUAUCUCCCCAAAUGUAAUGGCUUAAGGGCUUCCCAGGUGGUGCUAGUGGUAAAGAACCCGCCUGCCAAUGCAGGAGAUGUGAGUUCAAUCCCUGGGUUAGGAAGAUCCCUUGGAAGAGGGCAUGGCAACCCACUCCAGUAUUCUUGCCUGGAGAAUCCUCAUGGACUGACAUGGGGUGACCUGGGGUGACAUGGACUGACAUGGGGUGAGAGUUGGACAUGACUGAAGUGACUUAGCACACACACACAUAGUGACUUAAAACUAGAAACACUUAUUAGCUCACACAGUUUUUGUGGGUCAGGAAUCCAGGGACGGCUUUAGUAGGCUUUCUGGCUCAGAGUCUCCAUAAGGUUGUAGUCGACAUGUUGACUGGGGCUGCGUUCCUCUGAAGGUUUGACUGGGGCUGAAGGCUCUUGCUUCCGAGGAGGCUCACUCACAUGUGACUGGCAGGUGAGUGCUGGCUGUUGGCGGGAUGCCUCAGUUCCUCACUACCUAAGUUGACUUGAGUUUGAUACGCCCAACCUGGCAGCUGGCCUCACCAGGGCAGGCAACCCAAGAGAAGGAAAGCCAGGUGGAACUUGUAUCGUUUCAUGACCUAGCCUUGAAAGUCCCAGAGCAUCACUUCAGCCGCCACAUCCUGUGUGAUAAAAUUGAGUUGCCAGAUCCAGCCUGUGUUUAGGAAGAAGGAUAAAGACCCUGCCCUCUCUCCCUUCCUCCCUCCCCAUCUCCUACUGGAGUCUCUCUCUUCCAGCGCCAGAAGGCAAGGAAGGAAAGGGAGCCGGUCAGGCAGUCAGCCUGUCAGGGCACAGAGCAGGAGGCGAAGGCGAGAAUCAGUCUGGAGGGACAGAGAUACAGCCUAUUCCUAGGAUUCCUGGUCAAACCUUCCAUCAAGACCAAGUGCAGAGUGUAUGCUAAAUUCAUUCAUUCAACAGUCAUUUCCUGAGCACCUUCUGUAUACCAGCCCCUGCUACUGGAGCUGGGAAUUCCACAAUGAACCAGACAGACAUGCGGUCUCAAGGAGCUGAUAUUGUGGGGCAAGAGAAAUACCUGAUUAGCUAACAAUCAAAUUAAUAAAUGUCACAUAC
Molecule: long non-coding RNA, 1749 nt
Organism: Bubalus bubalis (water buffalo)
Lineage: Eukaryota; Metazoa; Chordata; Mammalia; Artiodactyla; Bovidae
Exons: 2
Source: RefSeq, a predicted model, not a curated record